UACGUAGGUGGCAAGCGUUGUCCGGAUUUACUGGGCGUAAAGAGCGCGCAGGCGGUCGUUCAAGUCGCGUGUGAAAGCCCCCGGCUCAACUGGGGAGGGUCACGCGAUACUGAUCGACUCGAAGGCAGGAGAGGGUAGUGGAAUUCCCGGUGUAGUGGUGAAAUGCGUAGAUAUCAGGAGGAACACCGGUGGCGAAGGCGGUUCUCUGGGCCUUACCUGACGCUGAGGAGCGAAAGCAUGGGGAGCAAACAGG
This 253-nucleotide ribosomal RNA is filed under the name uncultured bacterium. RNAcentral's name for it is "partial 16S ribosomal RNA". It matches the Rfam family "Bacterial small subunit ribosomal RNA", at positions 524 to 776 of the family's 1533-position model. The record is from RNAcentral.